GACGAACGCUGGCGGCGUGCCUAAUACAUGCAAGUAGAACGCUGAAGGAGGAGCUUGCUUCUCUGGAUGAGUUGCGGACGGGUGAGUAACGCGUAGGUAACCUGCCUGGUAGCGGGGGAUAACUAUUGGAAACGAUAGCUAAUACCGCAUAAGAGUAGAUGUUGCAUGACAUUUGCUUAAAAGGUGCAAUUGCAUCACUACCAGAUGGACCUGCGUUGUAUUAGCUAGUUGGUGAGGUAACGGCUCACCAAGGCGACGAUACAUAGCCGACCUGAGAGGGUGAUCGGCCACACUGGGACUGAGACACGGCCCAGACUCCUACGGGAGGCAGCAGGAGGGAAUCUUCGGCAAUGGACGGAAGUCUGACCGAGCAACGCCGCGUGAGUGAAGAAGGUUUUCGGAUCGUAAAGCUCGGUUGUAAGAGAAGAACGAGUGUGAGAGUGGAAAGUUCACACUGUGACGGUAUCUGACCAGAAAGGGACGGCUAACUACGUG
This 495-nucleotide ribosomal RNA is filed under the name uncultured bacterium. Its description in RNAcentral is "partial 16S ribosomal RNA". It matches the Rfam family "Bacterial small subunit ribosomal RNA", at positions 28 to 507 of the family's 1533-position model. The record is from RNAcentral.